CUUGCGGCGUGCUUAACACAUGCAAGUCGAACGGAAAGGCCCUGCUUUUGUGGGGUGCUCGAGUGGCGAACGGGUGAGUAACACGUGAGUAACCUGCCCUUGACUUUGGGAUAACUUCAGGAAACUGGGGCUAAUACCGGAUAGGAGCUCCUGCUGCAUGGUGGGGGUUGGAAAGUUUCGGCGGUUGGGGAUGGACUCGCGGCUUAUCAGCUUGUUGGUGGGGUAGUGGCUUACCAAGGCUUUGACGGGUAGCCGGCCUGAGAGGGUGACCGGCCACAUUGGGACUGAGAUACGGCCCAGACUCCUACGGGAGGCAGCAGUGGGGAAUAUUGCACAAUGGGCGGAAGCCUGAUGCAGCAACGCCGCGUGCGGGAUGACGGCCUUCGGGUUGUAAACCGCUUUCGCCUGUGACGAAGCGUGAGUGACGGUAAUGGGUAAAGAAGCACCGGCUAACUACGUGCCAGCAGCCGCGGUGAUACGUAGGGUGCGAGCGUUGUCCGGAUUUAUUGGGCGUAAAGGGCUCGUAGGUGGUUGAUCGCGUCGGAAGUGUAAUCUUGGGGCUUAACCCUGAGCGUGCUUUCGAUACGGGUUGACUUGAGGAAGGUAGGGGAGAAUGGAAUUCCUGGUGGAGCGGUGGAAUGCGCAGAUAUCAGGAGGAACACCAGUGGCGAAGGCGGUUCUCUGGGCCUUUCCUGACGCUGAGGAGCGAAAGCGUGGGGAGCGAACAGGCUUAGAUACCCUGGUAGUCCACGCUGUAAACGGUGGGUACUAGGUGUGGGGUCCAUUCCACGGGUUCCGUGCCGUAGCUAACGCUUUAAGUACCCCGCCUGGGGAGUACGGCCGCAAGGCUAAAACUCAAAGGAAUUGACGGGGCCCCGCACAAGCGGCGGAGCAUGCGGAUUAAUUCGAUGCAACGCGUAGAACCUUACCUGGGUUUGACAUGGAUCGGGAGUGCUCAGAGAUGGGUGUGCCUCUUUUGGGGUCGGUUCACAGGUGGUGCAUGGCUGUCGUCAGCUCGUGUCGUGAGAUGUUGGGUUAAGUCCCGCAACGAGCGCAACCCUUGUUCACUGUUGCCAGCACGUUAUGGUGGGGACUCAGUGGAGACCGCCGGGGUCAACUCGGAGGAAGGUGGGGAUGACGUCAAGUCAUCAUGCCCCUUAUGUCCAGGGCUUCACGCAUGCUACAAUGGCUGGUACAGAGAGUGGCGAGCCUGUGAGGGUGAGCGAAUCUCGGAAAGCCGGUCUCAGUUCGGAUUGGGGUCUGCAACUCGACCUCAUGAAGUCGGAGUCGCUAGUAAUCGCAGAUCAGCAACGCUGCGGUGAAUACGUCCCCGGGGCUUGUACACACCGCCCGUCAAGUCAUGAAAGUUGGUAACACCCGAAGCCGGUGGCCUAACCGUUGUGGGGGAGCCGUCGAAGGUGGGACUGGUGAUUAGGACUAA
Molecule: ribosomal RNA, 1441 nt
Filed under: uncultured organism
Description: partial small subunit ribosomal RNA
Rfam family: Bacterial small subunit ribosomal RNA
Source: RNAcentral